This 468-nucleotide ribosomal RNA is filed under the name uncultured bacterium. Its description in RNAcentral is "partial 16S ribosomal RNA". It matches the Rfam family "Bacterial small subunit ribosomal RNA", at positions 28 to 507 of the family's 1533-position model. The record is from RNAcentral.
GACGAACGCUGGCGGCGUGCUUAACACAUGCAAGUCGAACGGAAAGGCCCUGCUUUUGUGGGGUGCUCGAGUGGCGAACGGGUGAGUAACACGUGAGUAACCUGCCCUUGACUUUGGGAUAACUUCAGGAAACUGGGGCUAAUACCGGAUAGGAGCUCCUGCUGCAUGGUGGGGGUUGGAAAGUUUCGGCGGUUGGGGAUGGACUCGCGGCUUAUCAGCUUGUUGGUGGGGUAGUGGCUUACCAAGGCUUUGACGGGUAGCCGGCCUGAGCGGGUGACCGGCCACAUUGGGACUGAGAUACGGCCCAGACUCCUACGGGAGGCAGCAGUGGGGAAUAGUGCACAAUGGGCGGAAGCCUGAUGCAGCCAAGCCGCGUGCGGGAUGACGGCCUUCGGGUUGUAAACCGCUUUCGCCUGUGACGAAGCGUGAGUGACGGUAAUGGGUAAAGAAGCACCGGCUAACUACGUG